GGAGAGGUGUCAGAGUGGCCGAUCGUACAGCUUUGCUAAAGCUGCGUACCGCAAGGUACCGCGGGUUCGAAUCCCGCCCUCUCCG
RNAcentral lists this transfer RNA (85 nucleotides) under Candidatus Magasanikbacteria bacterium CG1_02_41_34. Its description in RNAcentral is "tRNA-Ser". It matches the Rfam family "tRNA". From Rfam's summary of the family: Transfer RNA (tRNA) molecules are approximately 80 nucleotides in length. RNAcentral also lists the same sequence under 5 other names. The record is from RNAcentral. Lineage: Bacteria; Candidatus Magasanikiibacteriota.